UACAGAGGGUGCGAGCGUUAAUCGGAAUUACUGGGCGUAAAGCGCACGUAGGUGGCGACGUAAGUCGGGUGUGAAAGCCCCGGGCUCAACCUGGGAAUUGCAUUCGAGACUGCAUUGCUGGAGUACGGAAGAGGAGGGCGGAAUUCCCGGUGUCGCGGUGAAAUGCGUAGAUAUCGGGAGGAACAUCAGUGGCGAAGGCGGCCCUCUGGUCCAGUACUGACACUCAAGUGCGAAAGCGUGGGGAGCAAACAGG
RNAcentral lists this ribosomal RNA (253 nucleotides) under uncultured bacterium. RNAcentral's name for it is "partial 16S ribosomal RNA". It matches the Rfam family "Bacterial small subunit ribosomal RNA", at positions 524 to 776 of the family's 1533-position model. The record is from RNAcentral.